CCUACGGGGGGCUGCAGUGAGGAAUUUUCUGCAAUGGGCGAAAGCCUGACAGAGCAAUACCGCGUGAGGGAGGAAGGCCUACGGGUUGUAAACCUCUUUUCUCAAGGAGGAAGAUAUGACGUUACUUGAGGAAUAAGCAUCGGCUAACCCUGUGCCAGCAGCCGCGGUAAUACAGGGGAUGCAAGUGUUAUCCGGAAUUAUUGGGCGUAAAGCGUCUGCAGGUGGACUUUUAAGUCUUUUGUUAAAGCUCUGGGCUUAACCUGGAAUAUGCAAAG
RNAcentral lists this ribosomal RNA (275 nucleotides) under uncultured bacterium. RNAcentral's name for it is "partial 16S ribosomal RNA". It matches the Rfam family "Bacterial small subunit ribosomal RNA", at positions 338 to 628 of the family's 1533-position model. The record is from RNAcentral.